UAAUUUUUUUUUUAGUUUUUUAAUGAUAUGGGGUCCUAUUAUGGUUGUGAGUCUAAUUCCCUCAAAUCAGGUGUGUGUAUCUGUUCGAGUGCAUUGCAUUGAACUUACAAUUUGAGGUUUGUGUGGAUCCUAAUAGAGGUUAAUGAAAGAUCGUCUAGUUCUCGAGCUAACAACAAAGCCUAUUCAACAUAAAGAUUCAAUCUUUAUGCCCUAUUUCAUAUAGAGAUCGAAUCUUUCAACAAGUAGAAGUGAGAUUCGAGUGUUUGAGACUUGUUAUUGAUUUUACUAUCCACAAACACAUCAUUUGCUUUAUAAUUUUUUUUUUAGUUUUUUAAUGAUAUGGGGGUCCUAUUAUGGUUGUGAGUCUAAUUCCCUCAAAUCAGGUGUGUGUUUGUUCGAGUGCAUUGCAUUGAACUUACAAAUUGAGGUUUGUGUGGAUCCUAAUAGAGGUUAAUGAAAGAUGUCUAGUUCUCGAGCUAACAACAAAGCCUAUUCAACAUAAAGAUUCAAUCUUUAUGCCCUAUUUCAUAUAGAGAUCGAAUCUUUCAACAAGUAGAAGUGAGAUUCGAGUGUUUUGAGACUUGUUAUUGAUUUUACUAUCCACAAACACAUCAUUUGCUUUAUAAUUUUUUUUUUUGUUUUUAAUGAUAUGGGGGUCCUAUUAUGGUUGUGAGUCUAAUUCCCUCAAAUCAGGUGUGUGUGUGUUCGAGUGCAUUGCAUUGAACUUACAAAUUGAGGUUUGUGUGGAUCCUAAUAGAGGUUAAUGAAAGAUCGUCUAGUUCUCGAGCUAACAACAAAGCCUAUUCAACAUAAAGAUUCAAUCUUUAUGCCCUAUUUCAUAUAAAGAUCGAAUCUUUCAACAAGUAGAAGUGAGAUUCGAGUGUUUUGAGACUUGUUAUUGAUUUUACUAUCCACAAACACAUCAUUUGCUUUAUAAUUUUUUUUUUGUUUUUUAAUGAUAUGGGGGUCCUAUUAUGGUUGUGAGUCUAAUUCCCUCAAAUCAGGUGUGUGUGUGUUCGAGUGCAUUGCAUUGAACUUACAAAUUGAGGUUUGUGUGGAUCCUAAUAGAGGUUAAUGAAAGAUCGUCUAGUUCUCGAGCUAACAACAAAGCCUAUUCAAUAUAAAGAUUCAAUCUUUAUGCCCUAUUUCAUAUAGAGAUCGAAUCUUUCAACAAGUAGAAGUGAGAUUCGAGUUUUUGAGACUUGUUAUUGAUUUUACUAUCCACAAACACAUCAUUUGCUUUAUAAUUUUUUUUUAGUUUUUUAAUGAUAUGGGGGUCCUAUUAUGGUUGUGAGUCUAAUUCCCUCAAAUCAGGUGUGUGUGUGUUCGAGUGCAUUGCAUUGAACUUACAAAUUGAGGUUUGUGUGGAUCCUAAUAAAGGUUAAUGAAAGAUCCUCUAGUUCUCGAGCUAACAACAAAGCCUAUUCAAUAUAAAGAUUCAAUCUUUAUGCCCUAUUCAUAUAAAGAUCGAAUUUUCAACAAGUAGAAGUGAGAUUCGAGUGUUUUGAGACUUGUUAUUGAUUUUACUAUCCACAAACACAUCAUUUGCUUUAUAAUUUUUUUUUUUAGUUUUUUAAUGAUAUGGGGGUCCUAUUAUGGUUGUGAGUCUAAUUCCCUCAAAUCAGGUGUGUGUUUGUUCGAGUGCAUUGCAUUGAACUUACAAAUUGAGGUUUGUGUGGAUCCUAAUAGAGGUUAAUGAAAGAUCGUCUAGUUCUCGAGCUAACAACAAAGCCUAUUCAACAUAAAGAUUCAAUCUUUAUGCCCUAUUUCAUAUAGAGAUCGAAUCUUUCAACAAGUAGAAGUGAGAUUCGAGUGUUUUGAGACUUGUUAUUGAUUUUACUAUCCACAAACACAUCAUUUGUUUAAAUUUUUUUUUUAGUUUUUUAAUGAUAUGGGGGUCCUAUUAUGUUGUGAGUCUAAUUCCCUCAAAUCAGGUGUGUGUGUGUAUUUU
Long non-coding RNA from Beta vulgaris subsp. vulgaris (sugar beet), 1951 nucleotides. RefSeq lists it as uncharacterized. NCBI's taxonomy places the organism in Eukaryota, Viridiplantae, Streptophyta, Magnoliopsida, Caryophyllales, Amaranthaceae. The transcript has 4 exons. The record is from RefSeq and is a predicted model, not a curated record.